RNAcentral lists this ribosomal RNA (375 nucleotides) under uncultured Glomus. RNAcentral's name for it is "SSU rRNA". It matches the Rfam family "Eukaryotic small subunit ribosomal RNA", at positions 569 to 947 of the family's 1831-position model. The record is from RNAcentral. Lineage: Eukaryota; Fungi; Glomeromycota; Glomeromycetes; Glomerales; Glomeraceae.
CGCAGCCGCGGUAAUUCCAGCUCCAAUAGCAUAUAUUAAAGUUGUUGCAGUUAAAAAGCUCGUAGUUGAAUUUCGGGACCAAUUUGUUGGUCGUGCCUCGGUACGUACUGGUAUUAUUGGUUUCUCCCUUCUGAAGAACCUCGAUGCCAUUAAUUUGGUGUCGUGGGGAAUCAGGACUGUUACUUUGAAAAAAUUAGAGUGUUUAAAGCAAGCAUACGCUUGAAUACAUUAGCAUGGAAUAAUGAAAUAGGACGUUUGAUUCUAUUUUGUUAGGUUUCUAGGAUCGACGUAAUGAUUAAUAGGGAUAGGUUGGGGGCAUUAGUAUUCAACUGUCAGAGGUGAAAUUCUUGGAUUUAUUGAAGACUAACUACUGCG